Long non-coding RNA from Astatotilapia calliptera (eastern happy), 3173 nucleotides. Lineage: Eukaryota; Metazoa; Chordata; Actinopteri; Cichliformes; Cichlidae. The record is from Ensembl.
AAAAAAAAAAAAGAGGAAAAAUCUUUAAAAUGAUAUUUGAUGAUUGUUGACAUUUGUUUUGUUUAAAUAUUCUUUGAAGGUUUGGUUCCAAAAUGCCAGAGCUAAGGAGAAGAGGGCCAGGAGCCUGAGCUCUGACUCUGCUGAGAGGGAGAAUGCUGAGCUCUCGGCGGGAACAGGGGAGAGAGACAGAGCUUAGAGAGGCGGACUGCUUCCUUCAACUACGUUCGCACCAAAACCCCUCCUGCAGUUGCCAUCUUACUCCAAACAAACACCAUGUCCAGUUGCUGCCAUCCCUCUAACACGAACGCCCCAAAGAAGCCGAGUUGCAGUGGCCCAAAGACAAACUCUCUCAGCCAAAAGUAGGAGAGAGCACAAACCACGUCCUGUCAACCACAGCUUUCCAGUCUUCAUUUUUUCCUUCAACUCUUGCCCAAGUCUGUUCUUUCUAAAAAGAGCUUCUCUCCUUAUUCAGUCAGACACCUUACUACAACCAAACUCCACCUUGAUAAAAACCAACCAGAUGCCACAGAGGCCAAAGAGCAUUCUCAAAGUAUGUGACCUCACUGCCCAGCUAGACCUGCAGUCUACCUCUCAGUCUGCACGACAGACUCACAGUGGGCCCUCCACCAGACCAGUGCUAGAUGACUAGCUGUGUAGCAUGUAGUGCCAGUCUGUACGAGGCUGGAACAAAAAAAUGUCAAAGAGAUUUUAGUGUAAAUAGAGAGCUCCAAAAAAUAAACUUGAAGAAAAAACGGUUAGAAGUGGAAGAAGAAAAAGAAGAGGAAAAAAAAAAACUGAAUUGUAUCCUUGAAAUACACAGGGAUAUUAGCAUAGAGCUUUUGUAAAGACUGACUCAGAUUCCAAAGCUCAUAACCAAAAUUUUACAUGUCUGUGGAUUUCGUUUGAACACGUUUGUUUUCAAUAACAAACUGCAGAGCUGACGUCUGUACGGUGAAGGGGUGAGAUCUGCAGCUGGCAUAGGUAAGCCGAGUACCAAUAGACUGACCCGGUGCUAGAAUGCAGCUUCACCCUCCAAAAGCCAAUGAUGAGUCUUCUGUUGUACAUGUACUCCUUCUAUGUUCCUUUAGUGGAUAACAGCCCAAAUAGCACAGAAAGUAAAGGCCAGUUUGUCCCAAAAGGGACAAACUAUUUUUUUAUAGCACUCAACCAUUAAACUGUAUAUGAAAACUUUAACCAAACUCGAAUUUACGUUGUGUGUGUUUAGUCAUAGUUUCUUAAUAUAAAUCUUAUGGAUUGAGAUAAACUGUCUUGCUUCGAUAUAAUAGUGUCAUGAUUAUGAAAAGAUUAUGACAGCUUUGAUAUGUUCAGGCGAGGUGACUUACUGCCUUUCCGUUCUAUUUGAAUAUACCAAUGGCUUACCAAUGUUAUGUGAUUAAUGUAAAGCUUUCUAUGCUCAGGUCAACAGCUCAACAUGGCUCUGCUUCAAAUGUGAUCUUAAUACUGGACUUUUCUGUUUUUAAAACAGAAGAGACACGGUUUAACCAUGGACUAAGUAUUAAAGGAUAUCUUUAAAAAAAAAGAAGAAAAAAAACAUCUCUGUAUUUCAAAGAUCUGAGCUUUUCACCUCUGAGUAAUAGAUUGUUACAAAAAAAAGAACCUUAUUGAAACUAAAGUGUUUAAUAGCGUGAGGGGUAAAUGUACAGUAUUUAGCUUUUGUAUGGUUGACUCGAGACUUCAUUGGAUGUUUGAGACAUAGCUCUCUUUUCCACUUACAGAAAGAGAGCUACUGCGCAAAGCUGAGAAAAAACUUCGGAUGUUAUUGAUGUUAUUUUUGUACACUUAAUUUAUUUUCCCUCCUUUUCUCCCUCCCCACCUACCCACUUUCCGCUUUUUCUCACUACCUUUCUUCCUCUGUUCAUUUGCAACCAGUCCUUAUUCUAUCUGUAAUAAUGAUAAUAUAACAAUAAUAGCUAAACAAUAAUUAAUGCUUUAAGACAAAAAUCCAAAGACGUGAUAAUACUUUAACCAUAUGACCUACAAAAAAAUAAGCGCUACUGUUUACUUGACGAUGUAUUGCUGUUUUUAAAGAAGGAAGGAGUCCCUGUAUCUAAGCUACUGUUUUCUGCCUCUCAUAAGCACACUGGAGACUGUAACCAAAACCCCAAACUAGAGCCAUGGCAGUCUGUAAAAUAGCGGUUGAAGAGUUUUACUUCUCUUGAGAAAUGUUGCAGUUUAUUUUUCUUUUAUACCAUAGUGUUGAACUUCAGCCCUUAAGGAUGUCCAGUUUGCUGCUAAUGUACUGUAGUUUCUAACGAUACUGUAGAAAGAUGCAUGCUCUGAUCGCUUUACCACUAGGCUUUAAUGACUACAAACUGUAAUGAUACCUGUGAUGCUGUUGAUAAACUGCUCCUCUUUUAUUCUGUUCAGAAACAAAUGGAUAUGUGGGGCUCAAUUCCAUCAAGUUUUUUUUUUUUUUUUACAGUAUCAUAAUAAUUACCCUUUCUCAGAAAACAGAAAUGGCUUUCGUAAUAUCAGAAUUUUUUUUUUCUUUUCUAUUUUUUUUGUUAAAGCUUCCAGUCUGAGAGAAACCCUCCGGGGGCAUUUACUUCUCAAUGCUUAAGGAGAUACUGCAGUUCUUUGAAGGAGUUCAGCCCCAAACCCUCUACUGGUUGAUGUCUUUCUGUGUUGCAAUGUCUCUUGUCCGUUUGUCCAGCUUAAACAGCUUUGCUAAACUCAGACUGACAUCACAGCCGACUUUCCAAAGGAUGUGGACUGACUAACUCUGUCAUGUUUCGUUCUUAACUAACCAAUGUUUACGACAAUACCAAUGAGCUUUCUUCUGUACAGAAAUGUGCAUUCCAAAUACCACAAAGGCAGUUUUUUUUUAAAAUAUACUGAUUAUUUUCAGAUUUAAUUUCUCUCGUAUUCUCUUGAUCUUAGUGACUGUAAGAUGUACAUAUUGGAGUACUCUAUGGUGAAGAGACUCUGUUAUCCUUACUGUAGGUAAAACAGUUCUUUUCAUUUUUUUUCCUGGAUAUGUUGUUGCCAUAGUGAUGACCAAAAAGAUACCUGUGAUGUGCACCUGUCCUUAUGUCCUGCUCCAGUGGUUUAGUGUGUCUCUAUACUCUCCCUACCCCAGUUGUGCUGGUGUGUGUUUCUCUUCCUUUCCCUCCCCGUACUCCACUGAGCUAAAUAAAGUCUGCUUUGGUGCA